This 87-nucleotide transfer RNA is filed under the name Prolixibacteraceae bacterium. Its description in RNAcentral is "tRNA-Leu". It matches the Rfam family "tRNA". Rfam says of the family: Transfer RNA (tRNA) molecules are approximately 80 nucleotides in length. Their secondary structure includes four short double-helical elements and three loops (D, anti-codon, and T loops). Further hydrogen bonds mediate the characteristic L-shaped molecular structure. tRNAs have two regions of fundamental functional importance: the anti-codon, which is responsible for specific mRNA codon recognition, and the 3' end, to which the tRNAs corresponding amino acid is attached (by aminoacyl-tRNA synthetases). tRNAs cope with the degeneracy of the genetic code in two manners: having more than one tRNA (with a specific anti-codon) for a particular amino acid; and 'wobble' base-pairing, i.e. permitting non-standard base-pairing at the 3rd anti-codon position. Lineage: Bacteria; Pseudomonadati; Bacteroidota; Bacteroidia; Marinilabiliales; Prolixibacteraceae. The record is from RNAcentral.
GCCCGGAUGGCGGAAUUGGUAGACGCGCUGGACUCAAAAUCCAGUAGUAGCAAUGCUGUGUGGGUUCGAUUCCCACUCCGGGUACGA